This 524-nucleotide long non-coding RNA is filed under the name Sus scrofa (pig). RNAcentral describes it as "lncRNA (ENSSSCG00030047354.1)". The record is from RNAcentral. Lineage: Eukaryota; Metazoa; Chordata; Mammalia; Artiodactyla; Suidae.
AUGAACUUGAAAGAACUGUACUUUUGCAUCCAUUGGAAAAGGUGUCCAAGACAAGAGAUGGAUCCAAAUAAUAUUGCUACGAGACAUGGGUGCCCUGAAGGAGUGAGGGAUGUGACUCCCUUGGCAAGGAUCCUUCAGACGAAAGGGAGUAUGGUGGACUUUCUCCACGUGGAAGCAGGCUCAGAGAUGGACUGUGAAGCCUCCAAGAAGGAUCCCAGGUAUGAAGAAUGAAAUAGUGAGUGGCAAAGUGCUUUGGGAGCUGCGAAGAGUGGUGUCAACAUGAGGACAAGGACAGUCAUGGUGGUUCCACUUUACCCCCUUAGAGCUCAGCCUCCUCUGACAAGACAGGUUUGUAUCUCCAACCCCUUACCCCAACAGAACAUAAUUUCCAGGAAAGCAAGCUCUUUAUUUUGCUGCUGUAUCCUUAGAUAUCCAAGGGGUCUUGGUUUAACAAAUAGAAGAGUGAAUUAAUAGUUCAUAGAAGCUGCCAAGUUUUUUGUAUGCGUUUGCUUAUUAUUGAAUAA